GAAACGACUGCUAAGACUGGAUAGGAAGAUAAAAGGCAUCUUUUAUCUUUUAAAAGACCUAGUAAUAGGUAUGCUUUAGGAGGGGCUUGCGCCAUAUUAGUUAGUUGGUAGGGUAAUGGCCUACCAAGACGAUGAUGUGUAGCUGGACUGAGAGGUUGAACAGCCACAUUGGGACUGAGACACGGCCCAAACUCCUACGGGAGGCAGCAGUAGGGAAUUUUCGGCAAUGGAGGAAACUCUGACCGAGCAACGCCGCGUGAAUGACGAAGUACUUCGGUAUGUAAAGUUCUUUUAUCAAGGAAGAAAAGCAAAUGGCGAACCAUUUGUUUGCCGGUACUUGAUGAAUAAGCCCCGGCUAAUUAUGUGCCAGCAGCCGCGGUAAGACAUAAGGGGCAAGUGUUAUCCGGAAUUAUUGGGCGUAAAGGGUGCGUAGGCGGUCUAGUAAGUCAGUGGUGUAAUGGCAACGCUUAACGUUGUCCGGCUAUUGAAACUGCUAAACUUGAGUUAGAUAGAGGCGAGUGGAAUUCCAUGUGUAGCGGUAAAAUGCGUAAAUAUAUGGAGGAACACCAGAGGCGUAGGCGGCUCGCUGGGUCUUAACUGACGCUGAGGCACGAAAGCGUGGGGAGCAAACAGGAUUAGAUACCCUGGUAGUCCACGCCGUAAACGAUGAGUACUAAGUGUCGGGUUAAACCGGUACUGAAGUUAACACAUUAAGUACUCCGCCUGAGUAGUACGUACGCAAGUAUGAAACUUAAAGGAAUUGACGGGACUCCGCACNAGCGGUGGNUCAUGUUGUUUAAUUCGAAGAUACCCGAAAAACCUUACCAGGUCUUGACAUGUUUUUGCAAAAUGAUAGUAAUAUCGUGGAGGUUACCAGAAACACAGGUGGUGCAUGGUUGUCGUCAGCUCGUGUCGUGAGAUGUUAGGUUAAGUCCUAAAACGAGCGAAACCCUUAUCGUUAGUUGCCAGCACGUUAUGGUGGGGACUUUAACGAGACUGCCAAUGAUAAAUUGGAGGAAGGUGAGGAUCACGUCAAAUCAGCAUGCCCCUUAUGACCUGGGCUACAAACGUGAUACAAUGGCUGUUACAAAGGGUAGCUGAAACGCAAGUUCUUGGCCAAUCCCCAAAAACAGUCCCAGUCCGGAUUGAAGUCUGCAACUCGACUUCAUGAAGUUGGAAUCGCUAGUAAUCGCGAAUCAGCAUGUCGCGGUGAAUACGUUCACGGGUUUGUACACACCGCCCGUCA
RNAcentral lists this ribosomal RNA (1246 nucleotides) under Sesame phyllody phytoplasma. RNAcentral's name for it is "bacterial SSU rRNA". It matches the Rfam family "Bacterial small subunit ribosomal RNA", at positions 153 to 1399 of the family's 1533-position model. The record is from RNAcentral. Lineage: Bacteria; Bacillati; Mycoplasmatota; Mollicutes; Acholeplasmatales; Acholeplasmataceae.